GGAAGGUGUUGAUGUGAGAGGAUACUAUAUUUGGUCAUUUCUUGAUGACUUCGAAUGGGAUUUGGGUUAUACUAUUCGGUUUGGAAUCACUUAUGUAGAUUACAGAAAUGAAUUAAAAAGAUAUCUCAAACAAUCUGCUUUGUGGUUCAAGAAAUUCCUCCAAAAGAAGAAUAGAAUCACUGCAUCUUCAUUGUUGUACUCAGAAUGAUUAAAUUUUUUUUAAAAAAAUGUCAAUUACCUCUCAAUUCUUAAUCAUUACUUAUGCUAAUUUUCAGUGAAAAUACAUAAGUGUGUUGAGCUCAUUUGGGAAAGGAAAUGUCGAGUUCUUCUCCUUCUUCUCUAUCUUCACAGCAAUUUCAUACUCUGCGAUUGCUGAAGCAUACCUGAAAAGAAAAUGAACCAUAUGUUGAUCAGUAGUAUGCUAUUAAUGAAUUCUUUGAUCUCUUGUCC
Molecule: unclassified non-coding RNA, 450 nt
Filed under: Hevea brasiliensis (rubber tree)
Lineage: Eukaryota; Viridiplantae; Streptophyta; Magnoliopsida; Malpighiales; Euphorbiaceae
Source: RNAcentral